ACUUAAAUAGCUUAGUUUUAGAGAGCGUAACGUUGAAGGUGUUAGGGUGAAAUUUUUCUUUGAGUG
This 66-nucleotide transfer RNA is filed under the name Gononemertes parasita. RNAcentral's name for it is "tRNA-Phe". Lineage: Eukaryota; Metazoa; Nemertea; Enopla; Monostilifera; Prosorhochmidae. The record is from RNAcentral.